Long non-coding RNA from Archocentrus centrarchus (flier cichlid), 414 nucleotides. RefSeq lists it as uncharacterized. The transcript is spliced from 3 exons. Lineage: Eukaryota; Metazoa; Chordata; Actinopteri; Cichliformes; Cichlidae. The record is from RefSeq and is a predicted model, not a curated record.
AAAGGUCCUGCUAAUGAGCAGACGGUGAAUCAGGAUGAACAUCAGCAGCAAGUGUACUCCUCUCUUCUUCAUGGUGAUCGUUGUGUCUAUGAGACAAUCAGAGGCUCUGAAAACACUGAAAAUGGACAACGUGGUGACCCAGAGGAGAGCUCUGACUACUAUAAUGUGAAUCCAAAUUCAGCCACAGCUCUAAAAUCUUAACAGCAGCUCUUUAGCUGUUUUUAUCUUUUUCUCUUUAAAGGAACUUAAAAACUUGACGUCACUUUGAGUGAAAAGGAGCAGAUUUUUCAUUCAAAGCAAUGAUCCUGAUAGCCUGAGUUUAUAUUUCCUUCAGAAAGAAUCGCUCAGUGUGUUUCACUCAUUUCUUAUUAGUCAGAAUAUUAAUGAACUUUAAUGUGCUGUAGAUCUGUUUUU